AAACAUCGCCUCCCGCAAAAAUCAAUGUAUGGGAGGUCCUACCUGCCCAGUGACACUAAGUUAAACGGCCGCGGUAUCCUGACCGUGCUAAGGUAGCGCAAUCACUUGUCUUUUAAAUGAGGACCUGUAUGAAUGGUGGAACGAGGGCUUAACUGUCUCCCUUCUCUAGCCAGUGAAAUUGAUCUACCCGUGCAGAAGCGGGUAUUCUAAUACAAGACGAGAAGACCCUUUGGAGCUUAAGACAUAAAAUCAACUAAGUCAAGACAUUUUAUAACAAAGACAAAACAAAAUUAGUAAAUUGAUUAUAGUCUUCGGUUGGGGCGACCGAGGGGGAAAACAUAGCCCCCACGAAGAUUGGAAAACUCUAAAACUAAGAGAGACAUCUCUAAGCCACAGAACAUCUGACUAAAAGAUCCGGUAUAUUACCGAUCAACGAAACAAGUUACCCUAGGGAUAACAGCGCAAUCCUCUCCAAGAGUCCAUAUCGACAAGAGGGUUUACGACCUCGAUGUUGGAUCAGGACAUCCUAAUGGUGCAGCCGCUAUUAAGGGUUCGUUUGUUCAACGAUUAAAGUCCUACGUGAUCUGAGUCAGAACCGGA
This 600-nucleotide ribosomal RNA is filed under the name Carnegiella strigata (marbled hatchetfish). RNAcentral's name for it is "partial 16S ribosomal RNA". It matches the Rfam family "Bacterial large subunit ribosomal RNA", at positions 1811 to 2620 of the family's 2925-position model. Lineage: Eukaryota; Metazoa; Chordata; Actinopteri; Characiformes; Gasteropelecidae. The record is from RNAcentral.